GACGAACGCUGGCGGCGUGCCUAAUACAUGCAAGUUGAGCGCUGAAGGUUGGUACUUGUACCAACUGGAUGAGCAGCGAACGGGUGAGUAACGCGUGGGGAAUCUGCCUUUGAGCGGGGGACAACAUUUGGAAACGAAUGCUAAUACCGCAUAAAAACUUUAAACACAAGUUUUAAGUUUGAAAGAUGCAAUUGCAUCACUCAAAGAUGAUCCCGCGUUGUAUUAGCUAGUUGGUGAGGUAAAGGCUCACCAAGGCGAUGAUACGUAGCCGACCUGAGAGGGUGAUCGGCCAGAUUGGGACUGAGACACGGCCCAAACUCCUACGGGAGGCAGCAGUAGGGAAUCUUCGGCAAUGGACGAAAGUCUGACCGAGCAACGCCGCGUGAGUGAAGAAGGUUUUCGGAUCGUAAAACUCUGUUGGUAGAGAAGAACGUUGGUGAGAGUGGAAAGCUCAUCAAGUGACGGUAACUACCCAGAAAGGGACGGCUAACUACGUG
Molecule: ribosomal RNA, 497 nt
Filed under: uncultured bacterium
Lineage: Bacteria
Description: partial 16S ribosomal RNA
Rfam family: Bacterial small subunit ribosomal RNA
Source: RNAcentral